This 74-nucleotide transfer RNA is filed under the name Pseudocodon vinciflorus. RNAcentral describes it as "tRNA-Cys". It matches the Rfam family "tRNA". From Rfam's summary of the family: Transfer RNA (tRNA) molecules are approximately 80 nucleotides in length. Lineage: Eukaryota; Viridiplantae; Streptophyta; Magnoliopsida; Asterales; Campanulaceae. The record is from RNAcentral.
AGGCGGCAUGGCCAAACGGUAAGGCAGAAGACUGCAAAUCUUCUACAUCUCAGUUCGAAUCUGAGUGUCGCCUA